UCUAAAUACCUAUUCGACUCUAAAUCAACCAAACAUCCAUAACGACAAUCCUACUUAAUCAUAUGGACCACAUUAAUCCCUAAUUAACGAAAAUCAAGAAAAAUCCUAAUUUGAACCCUAAUGAAGAAAAAUCAGUAGCAAUGACUUAAUCCAAAAAUUUAAUGAAGUUAAAAUAAAUUAACAAGGAUUAAAGAAAUAUCAAUGGGAUUAGCAAGAACAAAAAACGUUAAUGGGCCAAGGGGUAUUGGAGAAAGGAGAGGGGUGACUGGGACAAAUUACUUGAGCCAAAAGCCCAGGUUUUAACCAAGGAUCCAAGGAAAGGAUCCAAAACCCACGAGACUGAAAUCCGGUCCCUCAUGUCCAUGACCUAAUCCCCAAAAUGUGACGCCGAAAAUGUCUCUCAACUCAUACACGCCACAGUGAAAAUUCGAAAAACAUCCCGAAUUGAAUUGCAAACUCGUCUUAGCUCCAAACGGUAAAUGAAAGUUCGAGUCAAAAUUUAAACCUGAGCUCAACCUUACGGCGCCGGCAAGUCUCCCUCAGUGGCCACACGAGCAACGUGAAUCACUCGAGGAACUCGAUUCGUCCUCCGCGUGAGAAUCCCUUGAAUGAGCGCCCGACUCAAAAGUCCGAUGCGGAGGAUUAGGAGAUGUGUUCGUUGAUCCUCUCCUUCGUUUUUCGUACGCUUAUGUUCAUGGCUGAUUCUUCCGUUGGUGUUGUAGUGGUGUGUGGACGGUCUUUAUCACGUUGAGCUGAAAAGGGAGUAUGACCUUUAAUGCGCGACGCCUCCGGUAGUGAAUCAAGACGUGAAGGUAUCGAAAAUCCUUUUGACGCAUUGUUCUUCCUUUUUUCGAUUUUUCUUCAUCCUCUUGUUCUCUAUCUUCUCUGGGUCUUUUGGUUGAAAGGUUGAGGGCGAUUCAGAACUCAAUUUGGGAGAGUGGGGUCUGUGAUGCUGAUUGUUAAGAGGUUCUAUCGAAGAAAGUUGAAGAUGGUUCUAGAGGUUGGUUAGCAUUCUGUUAGGGAUUGGUUUAAGAGUCGGUUAGAAGUUGGUUGAAGAAGAGACUUUUGUUCAGUUAAAGUUCUGUUGGAAGAGUGGUUAGAAUUGUUGUUCAGAAUCUAAGUUGAUAAGUAUCAUGGCAGUUAGAAUAAGCUUUUGAGAAUUGGUUAUUGAAGUGAAGGUUAUAAAAUUCUGUUUUUGAAGGUUGAGUAUGUUGAGCUUGUUAUUCAGCUUGGAUUCAGUUCGGUUUUUUCGCUGGCAUCGCCAUUUCAUGCUUGCAUCGGCUUUAGAUUGCAAUGCCUUUUACUUUGGUCGUUUUCAUGAUUUUGUGCCGUUACCGUUUGGUUUUCUUCUUCUGUUUCAACCGUGUUUUGUAUUGCAGCAGCGUGGCUUUUCCGUUUUGGCUUGUAGUUGUACGUUACAGCUCCUGUGUUGCAGCUUGUUUUCAUCUUCAAUAUGCUUUCUUUUUGCUUAGUGUAAAUUGUUAUGUACAUGGUGAAUCUAUAUGCAUUAUUGGAUAUUGUUGGAUAGUGAAUUGGAUAUUGAUUUUGGAAAUUGUAAAA
Molecule: long non-coding RNA, 1560 nt
Organism: Lathyrus oleraceus (garden pea)
Lineage: Eukaryota; Viridiplantae; Streptophyta; Magnoliopsida; Fabales; Fabaceae
Exons: 2
Source: RefSeq, a predicted model, not a curated record